GCGAGCGUGGCGGAAUUGGCAGACGCGCCAGAUUUAGGUUCUGGUAUCUUCGGAUGUGGAGGUUCGACUCCUCUCGCUCGCA
Molecule: transfer RNA, 82 nt
Filed under: Sedimentisphaera salicampi
Lineage: Bacteria; Pseudomonadati; Planctomycetota; Phycisphaerae; Sedimentisphaerales; Sedimentisphaeraceae
Rfam family: tRNA
About the family: Transfer RNA (tRNA) molecules are approximately 80 nucleotides in length. Their secondary structure includes four short double-helical elements and three loops (D, anti-codon, and T loops). Further hydrogen bonds mediate the characteristic L-shaped molecular structure. tRNAs have two regions of fundamental functional importance: the anti-codon, which is responsible for specific mRNA codon recognition, and the 3' end, to which the tRNAs corresponding amino acid is attached (by aminoacyl-tRNA synthetases). tRNAs cope with the degeneracy of the genetic code in two manners: having more than one tRNA (with a specific anti-codon) for a particular amino acid; and 'wobble' base-pairing, i.e. permitting non-standard base-pairing at the 3rd anti-codon position.
Source: Rfam by way of RNAcentral